ACGAACGCUGGCGGCAUGCCUAACACAUGCAAGUCGAACGAGACCUUCGGGUCUAGUGGCGCACGGGUGCGUAACGCGUGGGAACCUGCCCUUAGGUUCGGAAUAACUCCCCGAAAGGGGUGCUAAUACCGGAUAAUGUCUUCGGACCAAAGAUUUAUCGCCUUUGGAUGGGCUCGCGUUGGAUUAGCUAGUUGGUAGGGUAAAAGCCUACCAAGGCGACGAUCCAUAGCUGGUCUGAGAGGAUGAUCAGCCACACUGGGACUGAGACACGGCCCAGACUCCUACGGGAGGCAGCAGUGGGGAAUAUUGGACAAUGGGCGAAAGCCUGAUCCAGCAAUGCCGCGUGAGUGAUGAAGGCCUUAGGGUUGUAAAGCUCUUUUACCCGGGAUGAUAAUGACAGUACCGGGAGAAUAAGCUCCGGCUAACUCCGUG
Molecule: ribosomal RNA, 432 nt
Filed under: uncultured bacterium
Lineage: Bacteria
Description: partial 16S ribosomal RNA
Rfam family: Bacterial small subunit ribosomal RNA
Source: RNAcentral